Molecule: long non-coding RNA, 850 nt
Organism: Impatiens glandulifera
Lineage: Eukaryota; Viridiplantae; Streptophyta; Magnoliopsida; Ericales; Balsaminaceae
Exons: 8
Source: RefSeq, a predicted model, not a curated record
AGAAACCCUUAAUAAUAUUCUCUUAACUUUCAUUCGCGAACUGUUUUACCCUGUAAUUUCUUCUCUUUCACACAGACGAUGCAUCAUCGUCUUCCUUGCUUCUCUAUCGAGGUGCAUGUUCCCCUUCAAGCAAGAGUUCUCCUUCGAUGAACGCCUCCGUGAAUCGCAAGACAUCUUAGCCAAGUAUACCGACAUAAUUUCCGUAAUGGUUGAAAGAUAUUCAAAGAUUGAUCUACCUGAGAUGGAGAAGAAGAAUCGACCUCGUUCUCUUCAUUUUCUACUAGGAAAAUCUCUAUAAGCUUGAGGAAAUUCUCAAUUGUGACGGCGGUUGGUAAGGGGAAGAAGAAAUCCGAUUCUCAUAGCUUCGUCUCCAGACCAGAUGAAGCUGCCGGUUUUUUUCUGAAGCUCUUUUGCUCAAAGAGGAGAACUUUUUAAACAACUGAAUCUUUAGCUGGAAAGUGAUCCUGGACUGAAGAGGAUGAGACACUGUCAAGUUGUAUACUUGAUUCAUGAAGAUCACGAUGAAGAGGUGGAGAAUGUAAACUCCAAAGUCAGAGGCAUCAUUCGAUGAAAACUCGUUGUUCAUGAUAACCAUGUUAAGAGAAUACGGAUUAGAACAAUCAUUUUUCUACUAGAUGAGUUUGACUUGUUUACACAGGUAUAAUAGUAUAAUAGUGUGAUACCAAUACUCUUAUAUUAUGAUUUCUAAUAUUUCACAUGUUGAUAUUUGUUACCUCUUUAAGGUAAACAAAAGUUUUUUAUAGCUUGUUGGACGUAUUGCAAUAUAUAUCAUCACAAGUUGUGGUUAUUGGUCUAAGUUGUCUUACUCAUAUGUGAUGCUAUAAUGUUU